Molecule: small nucleolar RNA, 110 nt
Organism: Carya illinoinensis
Lineage: Eukaryota; Viridiplantae; Streptophyta; Magnoliopsida; Fagales; Juglandaceae
Product: small nucleolar RNA snoR109
Exons: 1
Source: RefSeq, a predicted model, not a curated record
CGGUUGUAGCGAAAUCAAACGACUCAGAGAAGUAACAGGCUGGUUUUUGUGAGACCUCUUUUCCAAUUGAUCUCCGUCAACUAAUCUGCUUACUGAACUUUCUCACAUUC